CGCGGCCUAUCAGCUUGUUGGUGAGGUAACGGCUCACCAAGGCUUCGACGGGUAGCCGGCCUGAGAGGGCGACCGGCCACACUGGGACUGAGAUACGGCCCAGACUCCUACGGGAGGCAGCAGUGGGGAAUAUUGCACAAUGGGCGAAAGCCUGAUGCAGCAACGCCGCGUGCGGGAUGACGGCCUUCGGGUUGUAAACCGCUUUCAGCUCCGACGAAGCGCAAGUGACGGUAGGAGCAGAAGAAGGACCGGCCAACUACGUGCCAGCAGCCGCGGUGAUACGUAGGGUCCGAGCGUUGUCCGGAAUUAUUGGGCGUAAAGGGCUUGUAGGCGGUUUGUCACGUCGGAAGUGAAAACUCAGGGCUUAACCCUGAGCCUGCUUCCGAUACGGGCAAACUAGAGGAAUGCAGGGGAGAAUGGAAUUCCUGGUGGAGCGGUGGAAUGCGCAGAUAUCAGGAGGAACACCAGUGGCGAAGGCGGUUCUCUGGGCAUUUCCUGACGCUGAGAAGCGAAAGCGUGGGGAGCAAACAGGCUUAGAUACCCUGGUAGUCCACGCCGUAAACGGUGGGCACUAGGUGUGGGACUCAUUCCACGAGUUCCGUGCCGUAGCUAACGCAUUAAGUGCCCCGCCUGGGGAGUACGGA
RNAcentral lists this ribosomal RNA (644 nucleotides) under uncultured Actinomycetes bacterium. Its description in RNAcentral is "bacterial SSU rRNA". It matches the Rfam family "Bacterial small subunit ribosomal RNA", at positions 232 to 886 of the family's 1533-position model. Lineage: Bacteria; Bacillati; Actinomycetota; Actinomycetes. The record is from RNAcentral.